AUGGGCUCCAGGCUCCUCUGCUGUGUGGCCCUGUGUCUCCUGGAGACAGACCCAGUGGAAUCUGAAGUUGUCCAAAUCCCCAAGCACCUGAUCAAAGCAAGAAGACAGCCAGUGACCCUGAAGUGUUCCUAUGAAUCUGGACAUUACGCCUUGUACUGGUACCAGCAGACCCAGGCCCAAGGCCUCCAGUUUCUGGUGCAGUAUUACAAUGGGCAACUGAAUGAGAAGGGAAUUCUCCCUGCCAACUUCUCAGUCCAGCAAUUCAGCAAUGACCAUCGCUCUGAGCUGACUGUGAGCUCCCUGGAACCAGAAGACUCAGCCCUGUAUCUCUGUGCCAGCAGCAUAGCACAGCCCUGUACCAGCAGCAGCCUAGAACACAAAAACCUUCCUGCCCAGCUCAGGAAGUGA
Erinaceus europaeus (western European hedgehog) is the source of this 408-nucleotide non-coding RNA. NCBI's taxonomy places the organism in Eukaryota, Metazoa, Chordata, Mammalia, Eulipotyphla, Erinaceidae. The record is from the annotation of a RefSeq genome assembly.